GAUGAACGCUGGCGGCGUGCUUAACACAUGCAAGUCGAACGAGAAAUGGAGACGGAAACCUUCGGGCGGAAGGCUUCAUUUCGAGUGGCCGACGGGUGAGUAACGCGUGGGUAACCUGCCUCAUACAUGCGGAUAACAGUUGGAAACGACUGUUAAUACCGCAUAAGACUACACCACCGCAUGGUGCGGGGGUUAAAACUCCGGUGGUAUGAGAUGGACCCGCGUUCGAUUAGCCAGUUGGCGGGGUACAGGCCCACCAAAGCGACGAUCGAUAGCCGAUCUGAGAGGAUGACCGGCCACAUUGGGACUGAGACACGGCCCAGACUCCUACGGGAGGCAGCAGUGGGGAAUAUUGGACAAUGGGGGAAAGCCUGAUGCAGCGACGCCGCGUGAGUGAAGAAGUACUUCGGUAUGUAAAGCUCUAUCAGCAGGGAAGAAAAUGACGGUACCUGGGUAAGAAGCCCCGGCUAACUACGUG
Molecule: ribosomal RNA, 478 nt
Filed under: uncultured bacterium
Lineage: Bacteria
Description: partial 16S ribosomal RNA
Rfam family: Bacterial small subunit ribosomal RNA
Source: RNAcentral